Molecule: long non-coding RNA, 593 nt
Filed under: Nicotiana tabacum (common tobacco)
Lineage: Eukaryota; Viridiplantae; Streptophyta; Magnoliopsida; Solanales; Solanaceae
Description: long non-coding RNA (NTAB_LNC005004)
Source: RNAcentral
UGAAACUUGGAGUUGCAACGUAAGUUUUUCUUAGAAAGCUAGAACAACAACUCUAGGUCGCUUCUCUUUUGUUCUAGAGUUCCCUACUACUGGGAUAUGAAUCUUUUUCUUAUUUCUUUUCACAAAUUAAUGAAGGCUUUGGAAGAUUUGAUCACACUAUGAAACCUUAAUUACAUGUUAGGCAUAUCCCAAAAUUUUUCAGAUCAAACAUGGUGAAUAUUCUAGCAUGGAUGCAUAAUCUUUCUUACCUUCAGGAGUCGUCCGAGUUCCCCAAUGCUUAUGAGGAAGUGUGUGGUUCAGGUAACAUUUGGGUUGAAACUAGAAAUAACACAAAUAUAAUAUCAAUAAGUGCGAGAUGAUUUGGUGUUAAAAGAUUAUUUUCCUUCCUUCUGCAAGGAUAAAAGGUUAUUUUCCUUCCUUUUUGCUCUCAUUAUUCGUAUCAAAGUUAAUAAAGCAGUUUCUUUGUGCUAGCUAUUCAAAAUAAAUUUAUUCUUUCAUAUUUGCUCCAAACUACAUAAUUGAAUUUACAAAAUGGCAUUUAUUCUGUGUAUUUGCAGGUAAGAAUAUAUAAUACAAAUAGUCUACCUCAAAUU